RNAcentral lists this ribosomal RNA (465 nucleotides) under uncultured Klebsiella sp. RNAcentral describes it as "bacterial SSU rRNA". It matches the Rfam family "Bacterial small subunit ribosomal RNA", at positions 338 to 795 of the family's 1533-position model. Lineage: Bacteria; Pseudomonadati; Pseudomonadota; Gammaproteobacteria; Enterobacterales; Enterobacteriaceae. The record is from RNAcentral.
CCUACGGGAGGCUGCAGUGGGGAAUAUUGCACAAUGGGCGCAAGCCUGAUGCAGCCAUGCCGCGUGUGUGAAGAAGGCCUUCGGGUUGUAAAGCACUUUCAGCGGGGAGGAAGGCGGUGAGGUUAAUAACCUCAUCGAUUGACGUUACCCGCAGAAGAAGCACCGGCUAACUCCGUGUCAGCAGCCGCGGUAAUACGGAGGGUGCAAGCGUUAAUCGGAAUUACUGGGCGUAAAGCGCACGCAGGCGGUCUGUCAAGUCGGAUGUGAAAUCCCCGGGCUCAACCUGGGAACUGCAUUCGAAACUGGCAGGCUAGAGUCUUGUAGAGGGGGGUAGAAUUCCAGGUGUAGCGGUGAAAUGCGUAGAGAUCUGGAGGAAUACCGGUGGCGAAGGCGGCCCCCUGGACAAAGACUGACGCUCAGGUGCGAAAGCGUGGGGAGCAAACAGGAUUAGAUACCCCGGUAGUC